ACAUAUAAAUAGCCCGCGCGUACCCUUGCUUCAUUAAACGUAUUAAAGUCAAGCACGAAGGUGAUUCUGAUACUGUCAGAAGUAAAAAAAACUUCAACAAAAUAAUUCAAAAUGAACAGUGGUCGGGACAACAACAGGACCAACCAAUGUAACCCGAAUCACACCAGGACUGGGCCUGGUCAUAAUACGGGCUACCAUGGAGCUGGGACAAAAGCAGACCUGGACAAUCAUGGCAGGCAAAUGAAUCCCAAUAACCCGCGAUAUCAAAAGUAAUCUAUUCUACGGAAUGUAUUUCUUCCAAAAUGUAUCCUAAUUAUGGUUGAUUACAUUUAAUUUGGAAUAAAAGUUAAACCUUGUA
Megalopta genalis is the source of this 358-nucleotide non-coding RNA. Lineage: Eukaryota; Metazoa; Arthropoda; Insecta; Hymenoptera; Halictidae. The record is from RefSeq and is a predicted model, not a curated record.